UAUUGUGGCCCACUUGUUUUUCACUGA
This 27-nucleotide non-coding RNA is filed under the name Rattus norvegicus (Norway rat). Lineage: Eukaryota; Metazoa; Chordata; Mammalia; Rodentia; Muridae. The record is from RNAcentral.